GACGAACGCUGGCGGCGUGCUUAACACAUGCAAGUCGAACGGAAAGGCCCUGCUUUUGUGGGGUGCUCGAGUGGCGAACGGGUGAGUAACACGUGAGUAACCUGCCCUUGACUUUGGGAUAACUUCAGGAAACUGGGGCUAAUACCGGAUAGGAGCUCCUGUUGCAUUGUGGGGGUUGGAAAGUUUCGGCGGUUGGGGAUGGACUCGCGGCUUAUCAGCUUGUUGGUUGGGUAGUGGCUUACCAAGGCUUUGACGGGUCGCCGGCCUGAGAGGGUGACCGGCCACAUUGGGACUGAGGUACGGACCAGACUGCUACGGGAGGCAGCAGUGGGGAAUAUUGCACAAUGGGCGGAAGCCUGAUGCAGCGACGCCGCGUGCGGGAUGACGGCCUUCGGGUUGUGAACCGCUUUCGCCUGUGACGAAGCGUGAGUGACGGUAAUGGGUAAAGAAGCACCGGCUAACUACGUG
RNAcentral lists this ribosomal RNA (468 nucleotides) under uncultured bacterium. RNAcentral's name for it is "partial 16S ribosomal RNA". It matches the Rfam family "Bacterial small subunit ribosomal RNA", at positions 28 to 507 of the family's 1533-position model. The record is from RNAcentral.